AUUGAACGCUGGCGGCAUGCCUUACACAUGCAAGUCGAACGGCAGCACGGGAGCUUGCUCCUGGUGGCGAGUGGCGAACGGGUGAGUAAUACAUCGGAACGUACCCAGUAGUGGGGGAUAACGCACCGAAAGGUGCGCUAAUACCGCAUACGACCUACGGGUGAAAGCGGGGGACCGUAAGGCCUCGCGCUAUUGGAGCGGCCGAUGUCUGAUUAGCUAGUUGGCGGGGUAAAGGCCCACCAAGGCGACGAUCAGUAGCUGGUCUGAGAGGACGAUCAGCCACACUGGGACUGAGACACGGCCCAGACUCCUACGGGAGGCAGCAGUGGGGAAUUUUGGACAAUGGGGGCAACCCUGAUCCAGCAAUGCCGCGUGUACGAAGAAGGCCUUCGGGUUGUAAAGCACUUUUGUCAGGGAAGAAAUCUUUUGGGCUAAUACCCCGGAAGGAUGACGGUACCUGAAGAAUAAGCACCGGCUAACUACGUGCCAGCCGCCGCAGUAA
RNAcentral lists this ribosomal RNA (502 nucleotides) under uncultured bacterium. RNAcentral describes it as "partial 16S ribosomal RNA". It matches the Rfam family "Bacterial small subunit ribosomal RNA", at positions 30 to 523 of the family's 1533-position model. The record is from RNAcentral.